Molecule: long non-coding RNA, 505 nt
Filed under: Triticum aestivum (bread wheat)
Lineage: Eukaryota; Viridiplantae; Streptophyta; Magnoliopsida; Poales; Poaceae
Description: long non-coding RNA (TAES_LNC015596)
Source: RNAcentral
UAAAACUGAGCAUUUACUAAACUGAGGUAAACAGCAUCGAGCAUCAUCUGCUAUAAAACAAACUACAUUUUCCUAAUAAUUAAGAUGGCACAUGCAUGAAAUACCCAUUGAACCAGUCAUGAGAAAUCUGAAUCUUCGUCGGGUUGCCGUUGUGUAAAUAGGAGGCACUUUUGUCUAUGUAACCUUGAGAGCACAGCACCGAGCAUGAGAAAUCUGAACCUUCCUCAAGUUUCCUUUGUGUAAAGAGGAAAAUUGAAAUCCUUUGCCACACAUCUGAACCUUCAGAGAAGCUGCUAUCAGGGUUACAUAGAGGCAACAAAAACUACUCUCAAAAUUUUAUUGAUAGGCACAAAUAUUGGUCCUGAGAACAAAAUAGACAGUCAUGUUAUUAUUUGACAAAAGAAUCUAGCAUAUUUACCUCAGUUUAACUAAGCUUCCAACGGAGACUAACAAAUUAUGUAGCCAUCAUUCCAAAAGCUUCACGAGCAUCAAAAGGUGGAGCACC